UCACUCUCACUCUAACUCUCUCUUGUUUAAGAAUAAUUAUUAGUGGAAAGUUUCAAUUUUGGGGGUUUCUUGCUCCUAGUUUUGAUUUUGGGGGUUCCUGUCAUAUUCCAAUUAUGGUUUUCUUGUAUUAGAAGGAUGUUAGUAUGUAUAUAUCAAUCUCAACUUUUAUGUAUAGCCUUUUAAAUUCCACUUUAGUUCCAACAUGAGUGCUUCCAAUUGCCUAACAUUCUUAAUGUCUUCAUUAACAAGGUCUUUAUGCAGAAUUGUACAUGAUGAAUUGGGUGUGAUGAUAUUGAUAGUGGUUGUGUUUAUGGUUAAUUUUGCAGGAGCUGAACUUGGGGAGGAAAAGGAUAAAAUCACUUCAGCAUGAACUUUUGUGGAGGAAAGGGAAGGAUUUGAGUGUCCAAAUGAGGGAGCUGUUGUGAAAUUGAAACUAGUUGGGAAGGUUGAGCUAAUGGUUCCUCCUAACUCCACUGUAAUUAUGAGCUUGAGCUAGUGCCAUUUGAGAAGGAUAUGGAAAAUGGAGGAUGCUAUAGAUGGUGGUGCACCUUUGGAUUAUGCUUCAAAACAGCAAAACGAAUGAAUAAAUAAAAUGGUAGCAUUAAGGGAUGCUACAAACCCAUAUAUACAGAAAACAUCUGAACAGAGAAAAGACGGGGGGCAAAAUGCGGGAAGCUACAAGGGGCAGUAAAGGAGCACGCUGGACUUGAGAGAGCAGCAAAAAUCAACAAAAGGAAAAAGAGAGGCCAUCCCUGAGAUCAAGAGCAAGAUGCUGCGCCUUUCACCUACUUGAUGAAACAGGGCAGAUUUGAAAUCUGUCUUCUGAUGGACUGCAGUGCAGGACAGAUUCAAUGCUUCCAACUGUGAUUUAAACCCAGGCACUCACUUGGGUUACAUUCCCAGUCAUAGGAAGAGUAUAAGAACCCUUUCUUCUUGCAUUGAAGCCAUUUCCAAGAUUAAAUUGUAACACUGAUGUUAUACUUUCCCUGUACUAUAUGGGUAGUUCUCACAGAAAAAUCAGGCAGUAGUGCAGUACUUUCCUUCUUGGCAAUUGUCACUUUUUUAUGUUGUGCUUUAAUUUGCUUUGUAUUAUGAUAACUUGUUUCCAAUAUCAUAAUUUUUUUUUUUGGUACAUAAUCCAAUAUCAUAAUUUGAAUGUCUUUUUGUUUAUAAGUUGUCUAUGUGCAGUAUUUAGUGGUUUUAUUAAGUAUGAUGAAUGACAAUUGUUGUUAAAACCGCUGAGGGUGGCUUGUGGCAAACCUCUGGAACAUAUUUGCGGCGGUUUAUAACCUCUACUAAUAAGUAGAACUUUCACCAGCAAUAUGAAAAGCCACGGUUAAGCCCUGGACGUGGCCAUAAAGUCCACAUAUUGCCACGGUUCCGUCUAAGACCGUGGCAAUAGAGGCCACUUAUUGCCACGGUUGCCCUUUUUCCAACUGUGACAACAGAAAGUAAUUGCCACGGUUCGACGUUUAACCGUGGCAAUUGAGCCACGGGCGCUAUUGCCACGGUUAAACCGUGGCAAAUGAGCGAGUUUAACCGUGGCGAUAGGCCUUUUCUGUAGUAGUGGCUACAGCUUUUCGGUGCAUAUCAAACCAUCUAUUGACAAUAAGGUUCCAAUCUUCAGCAUCCAUCUAACACUAACACUGUAAAAUAUUUAUAAGUCCAUUUAUGUCCAUCUAUGUAAUAAAAUAAAUACCUUAAUCAAAUAAAGCUAAAU
This is a long non-coding RNA of Lotus japonicus, 1720 nucleotides long. RefSeq lists it as uncharacterized. The transcript is spliced from 5 exons. NCBI's taxonomy places the organism in Eukaryota, Viridiplantae, Streptophyta, Magnoliopsida, Fabales, Fabaceae. The record is from RefSeq and is a predicted model, not a curated record.